Hyla sarda is the source of this 408-nucleotide long non-coding RNA. RefSeq lists it as uncharacterized. The record is from RefSeq and is a predicted model, not a curated record. The transcript has 4 exons. NCBI's taxonomy places the organism in Eukaryota, Metazoa, Chordata, Amphibia, Anura, Hylidae.
UUCACAAACGGGGCCUGUGAAAUGGAGUAAACGCAGCGUAUUUAGUUAUGAAUGACGAGUAAAGAUGGCGGCAAACUUGUCAAAUAUCCUACAUAACCAUUUCUCCAGCUUCGCCUGAGGCGAUAUAGCGUCAUUACCACCCAAUAUACUGAAAAAUAAAGGGACAACAAGCUAUAAAAACAGCUGAUUGGAUACCUGCUUAGAUACAUGCAUCCUGUUCUGCAGUAUAUUCAUCCACAGUGACGGCCCAGAUCCCAGACGUAAGGACGAGAACAAAACUGGAUUCUUGAGGAGUCUUAUUGGAGAAGUGUGAAUGGAAUAUGAUUGCGAAUCAAGAACAUAAGGAGCCUCCGCCGCGAGGAAGUGAGUCCGCACCGUACUAGAUGUGAACGGUAAAGCGGAGUGAAU